UCAAACCAUCACCCUCCUUUUGUCAUCCGCAGUUCUGCUGGUAGCAGCCACGUCCAGAGGUAGCUCCGCCUCGUCUCGGUUCGCGAGCAGCAGGAGAGACCCUCUCCCCUACACGGGAACACGCUGGACUACGGGGUACGGGCCAGCUCUUUUUUGCAGCUGCGGCGCAAAGGCAGCCCGCCUGACCUUGCGGACAGACGCCAACCCGGGCCAGAGAUACCUGCCUUGCUCACGGGCGACGGUUUGCCGCCGUCCUCUCUGGCACUGGCUUGAUACCAAGCCGAGCCCGUACAGGUUUGCCGCCGGCGCUGGCCGCCUCCCGUCUUCAUCGACCUCACCGGCGGCGGUGACGACGACGACAAGGGCAAGGCGUUCUACUAGGGAAGCAUGCGAGCCUAUAGAAUUUGGAGCGGGUCGCCGACGGAGACAAUGCCACCGCUCUGGCCGCAUGACCCCGACCUUGUCCAGUCGGUCCCGUUAAUGAACUUGUAGACACUAGAAUACGAGGCCAUAUCAUGGCAAGUACUCCACUCUGUUGAACUCU
Long non-coding RNA from Triticum aestivum (bread wheat), 544 nucleotides. RefSeq lists it as uncharacterized. Lineage: Eukaryota; Viridiplantae; Streptophyta; Magnoliopsida; Poales; Poaceae. The record is from RefSeq and is a predicted model, not a curated record. The transcript is spliced from 2 exons.